UUAUAAAACACACACACACACACACACACAUUUAUAUAUAUAUAUAUAUAUAUAUAUUGUCAUCCUAUUCUAUUGGUUUGCGUAUGAAUGAAGGGCAAUAAAGUGUGGUUUAUCUUUUAGUAAUAUUUUUCGAGAUAUUGCAUGUAUUCCAAUGUGAUGGAUUUUUGUCUUUUUUUGGGUAGCUUGUGAAGAUUCACGACUUUUCAUGUUUUUAUAGAUAUUAAUACUUCACGAGUGUAUUCAAACCUCAUCCUGAACUUUGGAGAUACUAUUAUUUGGGAGUGUGUGGACGUGUGUGUGCGCUUUGCUGAAAUUACGUUGACAAAUCCUGUAUUUUUAUUUUAUUUUAUUUUUUUCUCUUUUUCACUUCUUCAAAAUGUGGGAUAUAAAGUCAGGUAUUGGUAUAGUUAUAACAAAUAAAAUAAAUACAAGAGCAAGAAUAUGUGUCCAAAUUGGUUUUUUGAAUACCAAUAGUUGUGUUUAUAGUAUUGCAUGCAUCCCUGUUGAGAUGAUUGCCAAUGUAUAUAUAAUUUGAAAACAAGAACACAC
This 549-nucleotide long non-coding RNA is filed under the name Physcomitrium patens. Its description in RNAcentral is "long non-coding RNA (PPAT_LNC013947)". Lineage: Eukaryota; Viridiplantae; Streptophyta; Bryopsida; Funariales; Funariaceae. The record is from RNAcentral.